This 429-nucleotide unclassified non-coding RNA is filed under the name Cachrys pungens. Its description in RNAcentral is "partial external transcribed spacer". The record is from RNAcentral. Lineage: Eukaryota; Viridiplantae; Streptophyta; Magnoliopsida; Apiales; Apiaceae.
ACCAGGUAGCAUUCCUCUUUGCUGCCGGCACCGCAUGAGCAAUAGGACAGAUACCAUCCUAGAGUCCACCCGGGCACGCCAGGCUUCUGUAAGGGACAAUUGAUUCGGGCAAAAAAGGGACAAGGACCCCAACCGAUCAUGCUUCUACAUACAAGACUUCGAGCGACACUUGGGCAUCCGACGCCUGCAAGCCACAUGGGCGAAGCAAGGGCGGACGUCCAUGGGUGCUUCAGGGUCUACAUCGCACAAAACAUUUUCGCACGAGAUAGAGUAGGGACCGUGGGACUAGAAAAUUCCGUCAAAACAGGUAUGCUGCACAGGGGGCCAAGCCUAUCCAAGGCGAGAUAUUUAGCACUCGGACAGAAUUGAACAGGUGUGAACCAGCGGUUGUCGCUACCGGGGCAGGGAACCAACCAACCGGAACAUACC